Sardina pilchardus (European sardine) is the source of this 3292-nucleotide long non-coding RNA. RefSeq lists it as uncharacterized. The record is from RefSeq and is a predicted model, not a curated record. The transcript is spliced from 2 exons. NCBI's taxonomy places the organism in Eukaryota, Metazoa, Chordata, Actinopteri, Clupeiformes, Clupeidae.
GGAGAAAUUAUUGAAACAUGUAUUCUCAUUUAUAUUGAUAAUCUGAAAAAGCAUAUUACAAGUGUGAUUGGGUACAAUUGUUGAUCGGGUAUUUAUGUUCCCCUACAGUGAUUGAUGGUAUGUGUGUUCCUUUCCAUUGGAUGGGGGAAUUGUUGGCCAUCGUGAGUGGGGAAGAGUGUAGUUGCAUGUGUAGACUGUGUUCUGUGUGGUCGUGCUUUGUGGCCGAGGGUUCAUCUUUUUCAUGGAGAGGUCUGUUCAUUUGUAUCUUAAUGUGCCAAUCAGAUGUUUUUGUACUCUUUGUACUUUUGUGCACAAGAUAAGGUUUCAACACUAAUGUGUAGUCCCUUUUACCUGAUUUAUCUAAGGGAACCGAAAGUUUCCCUAGGCCCAAGUUCUUGACCACAAGUUCUGUAUUUGUUGUUGAUUCAGAAGUAAUGUUCUGUUUGAAAGGUUCUCUCGGACACAUGUUCGGUGGGACAAAGGCCAGGGCUUAUUGUCCAAGUUUUAGCCAUGUGAUCAUGUCAAAGGGCAAACUAGAGACCCUAGAUACGUAAACUCUUGUAUAGAUAUGUCAACCCUGGUAUAAAAGGAGGCCCCAGACUAAAAUUAUCAGAGUCUGGUAUGAACCAUUUUGUGUUGUAUCAUUCUCUCUCUUUGCAAAGAUAAUACAAUUGUGUUGUCCUUGGAAUUCACUGGUCCUUGUCUUUAUUUGCGCACAAACAUACAAAAUUAUUUAUCAGACAUAGUAAAAUUAUCUAUCAGAUUGGGGGCUCGAUAUCCGGGAUUCCAAUAUCUGGGGGUCAGGUGGACAUUCCAGAAAAUCCGUGCACAGUCAGGUCUAGGACCUGGGCAUUUGGCUAAAGUCCUCUGUUUGUUUUGAACUCUGAGGCGAGGAUUUCUACUCUGGCCCCCGGUGACGGGAUACUGGACCUGUAAACAACGAAGUCAGGACCAGUGAAUCCAAGGACAAGGAAACCCGCGCUCAAACAAUUGCAGAAUGAGCAACAUGGAUCCACCAGAGUCACUGCAGCCUUAUGACUAGGGUGGUCGCUGGAGCUACAACAGAGGAUGACGGGCAAAGUCCAGCUACAAAGGGGUAGACCUCACUAGGGGAGUCUUCGUCUCAAACCUGGUGAAAAAGGUAACACUCGUCAGGACUCAAUUAGGGAAGCUCCAGUGGCGGCCCUAUUCAUGGGUAAGAGGUUGACUCUUUUCAUCUCGAUUAAUUUCUAUGUAUAAGUGGAUUUCACCAACCCCCGUGGAAAGUCACUCCUCAAUUUAAGAAACUGGUCCUGAUAAAAGUGAUGUUGGGAUGAACUGAGACAUUUGAGAUUAAUUUAGUAUGCUCUGCGACUGGUCCGCCUGCAGUGUAUGUGACGUCAAUGAAAUACUGUAUUUGUAUAUGGAUUAUCCAUGUUCAGAUUGUUAUUGUGUUUAUUGUUACUGACAAAAUGUUUUGAAUUACAGCUAGUGUGAGGCUGGAUAGAUGGUCAAUAGUAGUAAAACACGGGACCACAAAUGUUCUGAUAACCAUACAAGUCCCAACUGCCGGAGAUGCAGGCCACGUCAAGGGAGUGAUGACUACGGGUGUGAUUUACAAUGUCAGGUUGUGGUGGUGGUAGUGGUAAUACAGCCCACCGAGGUGACACCUCUCACCUACAGCUCUUUCACCAUGGCUUGACAGAUCUGACGGUAACUACACAUGGUAACAAACUCCGACCGGCUGUCUAUAUUUUGGAAGUCGUUGUGUGCUACUGUAACUGUUGGUCCCCUCUGACUACUACUGAUAGAGGAAGUCAAUUCACCACAUGAUCAUCCAACCGCCUUGAGACCCAAAGUUAAAAGAGCACUGCAAGAUGUUGAUUUGCCUGCUUACCCUGGUGCUUACAUGGAUAGUUUACAUAUAACUCAACAAAACAACCUUGACAACAUGGCAAAAUUGUGUGGCGUUAGAUUUGCUGCCUGUGGACCGUGGGGGAGUCUGUGCUAUAUUUGGUUCUACUUGUUGUAUGUUUAUUCCCAACAACACUUUUCCUGACGGAUCAUUAGGGCACUUAAUGGCCUAACCGCUUUGUCUAACGAAUUGACUGAAAAUUGACUGGAACCAAAUUUCUUCGAGAGUUUAAUGACUCAAAAAUGGUUUGGUAGCUGGAAAGGGGCGGUACAAAAUGUAAUAACCUCUGUCUUGGUUGUUUAGAGUUUAAUGUCUAUGUUGGGCUGUUGUAUUAUUCCUUGUGUGCGAGGUCUGUUGCAGAGAGCCAUUGGAACUGCUGUGUAUCCUGAGACUCAGAUGCUGCUGGCUGACGAUCCCCCUUCCUAUGACCAACUUGAUAUUGAAAGUGGGGGAGGGGUGGCCGUUAGCUCAGCCGCUGAGGAGGAAGGGGACACGGACUACGGAGAUGGCUAUGGUGGUGACUUUGAGAAUCCUUUCAACGACCCUGAUGAUGACUAUGAUGGAGGCAUUCAUCCAGAUUUCCCCCCCGAUUUUGAUGUGUUGUGUCUCUCAACUUUCCCUGAGUAAAUCACUUAUGAUGUAUGACUUUUAGGGAACAGAAAUGCUUAAAAGAUCGAUGUUUUUCAUAAUUAUCAAAAGGGUGGAUUGUUGGAGAAAUUAUUGAAACAUGUGUUCUCAUUUAUAUUGAUAAUCUGAAAAAGCAUAUUACAAGUGUGAUUGGGUACAAUUGUUGAUCGGGUAUUUAUGUUCCCCUACAGUGAUUGAUGGUAUGUGUGUUCCUUUCCAUUGGAUGGGGGAAUUGUUGGCCAUCGUGAGUGGGGAAGAGUGUAGUUGCAUGUGUAGACUGUGUUCUGUGUGGUCGUGCUUUGUGGCCGAGGGUUCAUCUUUUUCAUGGAGAGGUCUGUUCAUUUGUAUCUUAAUGUGCCAAUCAGAUGUUUUUGUACUCUUUGUACUUUUGUGCACAAGAUAAGGUUUCAACACUAAUGUGUAGUCCCUUUUACCUGAUUUAUCUAAGGGAACCGAAAGUUUCCCUAGGCCCAAGUUCUUGACCACAAGUUCUGUAUUUGUUGUUGAUUCAGAAGUAAUGUUCUGUUUGAAAGGUUCUCUCGGACACAUGUUCGGUGGGACAAAGGCCAGGGCUUAUUGUCCAAGUUUUAUCCAUGUGAUCAUGUCAAAGGGCAAACUAGAGACCCUAGAUACGUAAACUCUUGUAUAGAUACGUCAACCCUGGUAUAAAAGGAGGCCCCAGACUAAAAUUAUCAGAGUCUGGUAUGAACCAUUUUGUGUUGUAUCAUUCUCUCUCUUUGCAAAGAUAAUACAAUUGUGUUGUCCUUGGAA